AUUUUAGUUGCAUAAAAUAAUUAUUGUUAUUGGUAACCAUUAGUUUGACGCUUUUUGACAUAAAGCGGGUGUUUACGAGGGAGUAUAUGCCAACUUACGAAAGUGCGUCAAAAGAAUUCGCAAACACUGGCAUAAGCGCAAACUGACAGAAUUUUUAAACGCUGGCAUAGGUGCAAAGCAUAAGUACUAAUGCUUUAGCUUAUUAAAUUUAAAAAUUUUUUUGUUUUUAAAAAAUAACAGAAGUGGAUGCCUUAAGAAUCUAUGGAAACGCGACAAUUUAUUGCAAUCUUGCAAAAGAUAUUUAUUGAACCAUAACAAACUGAUUUAACAAGCCUUUAAUUAGUUUUCCAAAUUGUGAUCAAGAACAGUCAAAGCAAGAUGAAGCUAUCGGCUAUCGGCUUAUACUAAUCCAUUAAAUCAAGCAACUGUUAACAUACAACCUCAACCAUAUGUUAUAUAUCCUUCAACAUAUUACAACUUUGCUUGGCUCGCUAGUUUAUUUUGUUGUUUGCCUCUUGGUGCUGUCGCGAUAUACUACUCACGUAAAGCACAGAUCGCUAUCAAUGAAGGAAAUAUUGAAAAUGCAAGAUAUGCUUCAAAAUUAGCAAGAAAUUUGGUUAUAGGGUCAGUUGCAAUUGGUUUAAAUUUCAUCUGGAUUCCUAUGGUAGUAAGGUUCUUAACUAAUGGUAAAAUCUUCUAGUUCUCGUCUUCUGAAACGUACAACUGUUUACUGAAUAAAACUUGGUGUUAAGACGAA
This is a non-coding RNA of Hydra vulgaris (swiftwater hydra), 757 nucleotides long. The record is from RefSeq and is a predicted model, not a curated record. Lineage: Eukaryota; Metazoa; Cnidaria; Hydrozoa; Anthoathecata; Hydridae.